AAGUCUUGACAUCCCGAUGACCGGCUCGUAACGGAGCCUUCUCUACGGAGCAGCGGAGACAGGUGGUGCAUGGUU
RNAcentral lists this ribosomal RNA (75 nucleotides) under uncultured bacterium. RNAcentral describes it as "partial 16S ribosomal RNA". The record is from RNAcentral. RNAcentral also lists the same sequence under 1 other name.